UGCAGUCGACGCCCCGCAGGGGAGUGGCAGACGGGUGAGUAACGCGUGGGAACAUACCCUUUCCUGCGGAAUAGCUCCGGGAAACUGGAAUUAAUACCGCAUACGCCCUACGGGGGAAAGAUUUAUCGGGGAAGGAUUGGCCCGCGUUGGAUUAGCUAGUUGGUGGGGUAAAGGCCUACCAAGGCGACGAUCCAUAGCUGGUCUGAGAGGAUGAUCAGCCACAUUGGGACUGAGACACGGCCCAAACUCCUACGGGAGGCAGCAGUGGGGAAUAUUGGACAAUGGGCGCAAGCCUGAUCCAGCCAUGCCGCGUGAGUGAUGAAGGCCUUAGGGUUGUAAAGCUCUUUCACCGAUGAAGAUAAUGACGGUAGUCGGAGAAGAAGCCCCGGCUAACUUCGUGCCAGCAGCCGCGGUAAUACGAAGGGGGCUAGCGUUGUUCGGAAUUACUGGGCGUAAAGCGCACGUAGGCGGAUAUUUAAGUCAGGGGUGAAAUCCCGCAGCUCAACUGCGGAACUGCCUUUGAUACUGGGUAUCUUGAGUAUGGAAGAGGUAAGUGGAAUUCCGAGUGUAGAGGUGAAAUUCGUAGAUAUUCG
This 593-nucleotide ribosomal RNA is filed under the name Agrobacterium pusense. Its description in RNAcentral is "bacterial SSU rRNA". It matches the Rfam family "Bacterial small subunit ribosomal RNA", at positions 56 to 700 of the family's 1533-position model. The record is from RNAcentral. Lineage: Bacteria; Pseudomonadati; Pseudomonadota; Alphaproteobacteria; Hyphomicrobiales; Rhizobiaceae.